Molecule: ribosomal RNA, 468 nt
Filed under: uncultured bacterium
Lineage: Bacteria
Description: partial 16S ribosomal RNA
Rfam family: Bacterial small subunit ribosomal RNA
Source: RNAcentral
GACGAACGCUGGCGGCGCGCCUAACACAUGCAAGUCGAACGGAGUCAAGAGGAGCUUGCUUUUCUUGACUUAGUGGCGAACGGGUGAGUAACGCGUGAGUAACCUGCCCUGGAGUGGGGGACAACAGUUGGAAACGACUGCUAAUACCGCAUAAGCCCACGGAUCUGCAUGGAUCUGCGGGAAAAGGAUUUAUUCGCUCUAGGGUGGACUCGCGUCCAAUUAGCUAGUUGGUGAGGUAACGGCCCACCAAGGCGACGAUUGGUAGCCGGACUGAGAGGUUGAACGGCCACAUUGGGACUGAGACACGGCCCAGACUCCUACGGGAGGCAGCAGUGGGGGAUAUUGCACAAUGGGGGAAACCCUGAUGCAGCGACGCCGCGUGGAGGAAGAAGGUUUUCGGAUUGUAAACUCCUGUCGUGAGGGACGAUAAUGACGGUACCUAACAAGAAAGCACCAGCUAACUACGUG